CAAUCAGAAUAUGCUUAUAUAAUUUUGUUUGCCCCCAUAGAAGAAAAUUCCUAGAUCCAUCUCUGCAUUUGAGGGCUAUGCCGGCCUAUUUAUAUCACAUUAUGUGGCUUUUAUUUGCCUGGUGAACAAUUGUAAAAUAAUAAAAUAGUUUUGAUUGUUGGUUAGUUGGUUAUUUUGAUCAAUCAGAAUAUGCUUAUAUAAUUUUGUUUGCCCCCAUAGAAGAAAAUUCCUAGAUCCAUCUCUGCAUUUGAGGGCUAUGCCGGCCUAUUUAUAUCACAUUAUGUGGCUUUUAUUUGCCUGGUGAACAAUUGUAAAAUAAUAAAAUAGUUUUGAUUGUUGGUUAGUUGGUUAUUUUGAUUAAUUAGAAUACGCAUAUAUAAAUCAUUUAGAGUGGAGAAAGC
RNAcentral lists this unclassified non-coding RNA (401 nucleotides) under Hevea brasiliensis (rubber tree). Lineage: Eukaryota; Viridiplantae; Streptophyta; Magnoliopsida; Malpighiales; Euphorbiaceae. The record is from RNAcentral.